Molecule: ribosomal RNA, 253 nt
Filed under: uncultured bacterium
Lineage: Bacteria
Description: partial 16S ribosomal RNA
Rfam family: Bacterial small subunit ribosomal RNA
Source: RNAcentral
UACAGAGGGUGCAAGCGUUAAUCGGAAUUACUGGGCGUAAAGCGCGCGUAGGUGGUUCGUUAAGUUGGAUGUGAAAUCCCAGGGCUCAACCCUGGAACGGCCUUUGAUACUGGACGUCUGGAGAUCGGGAGAGGUUGGUGGAAUUCCGAGUGUAGAGGUGAAAUUCGUAGAUAUUCGGAGGAACACCAGAAGCGAAGGCGGCCAACUGGCCCGAUACUGACGCUGAGGCGCGAAAGCGUGGGGAGCAAACAGG